This 67-nucleotide transfer RNA is filed under the name Sphenophorus sp. BYU-CO246. RNAcentral's name for it is "tRNA-Ser". It matches the Rfam family "tRNA". Rfam says of the family: Transfer RNA (tRNA) molecules are approximately 80 nucleotides in length. Lineage: Eukaryota; Metazoa; Arthropoda; Insecta; Coleoptera; Curculionidae. The record is from RNAcentral.
AGUUAAUGAACUUGUAAAGUAUUUACUUUGAAAGUAAAAAAAAGAGAUUUAAAUUCUCUAUUAACUU